AUGUUAGAAGUCAGAGGUAUCUCAUCCAUCUUGGUGAUGUGGCUGGGCGCGGUUAUGUUGUCACGGCAGAUGGCCACCCUCUCCUGGUUAGGGUUAGGGUUAGGGAAGAUGGCCGCCCUCUCCUGGUUAGGGUUAGGGAAGAUGGCCACCCUCUCCUGGUUAGGGUUAGGGUUAGGGAAGAUGGCCACCCUCUCCUGGUUAGGGUUAGGGAAGAUGGCCGCCCUCUCCUGGUUAGGGUUAGGGUUAGGGAAGAUGGCUGCCCUCUCCUGGUUAGGGUUAGGGUUAGGGAAGAUGGCCACCCUCUCCUGGUUAGGGUUAGGGAAGAUGGCCACCCUCUCCUGGUUAGGGUUAGGGUUAGGGAAGAUGGCCACCCUCUCCUGGUUAGGGUUAGGGUUAGGGAAGAUGGCCACCCUCUCCUGGUUAGGGUUAGGGAAGAUGGCCACCCUCUCCUGGUUAGGGUUAGGGUUAGGGAAGAUGGCUGCCCUCUCCUGGUUAGGGUUAGGGUUAGGGUUAGAGGGUUAGGGUUAGGGAAGAUGGCCGCCCUCUCCUGGUAAUCCGCGGGCAGCCGCUGUGCAACAGUUGUCCUCGUGCGUAUGGAGUAAAAAGAUGCUGCCUCCUCAUAAAGCGAAAACACUAAGAUUGCUCGAUUGCCAUAUUCAGCCGCAUAUUUGAUGGCCUGCAGUUUAAAGUAAGCCUCAUUCAUACGCGUCUCGCUUGAACGGCACCAUUUUAGGGGAUCCUUACGCGUAGGUGUGCCGCUAAUCGAUUGGCGGAGCGUUUACCGUAGUGCACCCACCAAAGGGGCACAGCAGAUUUUGGAACUCAGUCCACACACAAGGCGCACCGUCGAUUUUUGAGAAAAUCUCAGUGUUUUAGGCGCCUUAUAGUCGUGAAAAUACGAUACGUUCUGAGAGGAGUCCUCAUGUGGUCCACAUGGGGGCGCUGUUGGACUUCUACUGGUGUGUGAGAACUCACACACCUAACCCUAAGUGACCAUAGAAUAAGCCCCCCCCCCCCCCCCCACACACACACACACACAC
This 1040-nucleotide long non-coding RNA is filed under the name Takifugu rubripes (torafugu). RNAcentral describes it as "lncRNA (ENSTRUG00000033120.1)". Lineage: Eukaryota; Metazoa; Chordata; Actinopteri; Tetraodontiformes; Tetraodontidae. The record is from RNAcentral.